Molecule: non-coding RNA, 72 nt
Organism: Phrynosoma platyrhinos (Desert horned lizard)
Lineage: Eukaryota; Metazoa; Chordata; Lepidosauria; Squamata; Phrynosomatidae
Source: the annotation of a GenBank genome assembly
UCCAGUGUGGUGCAGUGGUUUGAGUAUUGGACUACAACUCUGAAGACCAGGGUUCAAUUCCUUGCUCAGCCA